This 393-nucleotide long non-coding RNA is filed under the name Elaeis guineensis (African oil palm). RNAcentral's name for it is "long non-coding RNA (EGUI_LNC035550)". Lineage: Eukaryota; Viridiplantae; Streptophyta; Magnoliopsida; Arecales; Arecaceae. The record is from RNAcentral.
UUUCAUGAGAAAUCUUUUCUCAUGUAAUAAAUGGGACGUAAAAAAAAGGGAUAAGGUGCAAAGAUUGAUUGCCCAUUCAAAUUCAAACUUUAUUUUGAAUUUGAAUGGCCAACCAAUCAUCCUUAUCCAUUCAUAUGGCACAUUAAAGUGGGGCGUGGGGAGGGCUUGGCGUGAGGAAAAAAUUCAUGAGAAGUUUCUUCUCAUGAAUUCAAAUGGGUGCAAUGGAAGUGAGGUGGCGUAUGGAGAUUGGGUCAAGGUGGUUUAAUUAUUUAAACCAACAUAAUUGAACCAAAUAAGUUAGGUCCAAUUAGACUAAUUUAAACCUAACUAAAUUAGGCUUAGUUAGGCUCAAUAAAAUUUUAAUCAAAUCAGGAAUUGAUUAAGCCCAACCCC